Molecule: long non-coding RNA, 485 nt
Filed under: Mustela putorius furo (domestic ferret)
Lineage: Eukaryota; Metazoa; Chordata; Mammalia; Carnivora; Mustelidae
Description: lncRNA (ENSMPUG00000031117.1)
Source: RNAcentral
ACAACGUAUAUCUCUCAUAAAUCCACGCAAGACCCCCUACAGUGGAGUUGUGGCUGAGACCAAAUAUUUGCUGAAUGAGGCUGAGGUACAGAGAUGAAGAACACAAUGAAGGGAAGUGAUAUGGUUAAGAGGAGGGCCAGCCUCAUGGAGGAGGCAUUACAAAAUGCUUGUUAUAAAAAAGGGGUCACUGGGCCUGAGAGAGCUCUGGCCAGUGAAGACAAGAUGAUGUGCUAGUGCAAGUAACAUCUGGGAGAAGCUGACUCGGUUUGCCACAGCCGGAGUAUUGGUGGGAGGCUGGCCGGCUUCCCAUUAUAGAAGCUCACCUCCAGGUGGCUAGGUGUAAUCACAGCCAAUCAAGAACACCCACCCCAUUUUGGAUCUGGAGCCAGAAGCAGAACAGUGAAGAAUUUUCUUCUCUUGGCAGGUAUGGCUGUGAUUUGGGCAGUGCUUUCCAGGGGGUUGGCAGUGCAAGCUUGUGGCAUCCA